CGGGGCGUAGCGCAGUCUGGUAGCGCACAGCGUUUGGGACGCUGGGGCCGUGGGUUCGAAUCCCUCCGCCCCGACCA
This 77-nucleotide transfer RNA is filed under the name Roseiflexaceae bacterium. RNAcentral describes it as "tRNA-Pro". It matches the Rfam family "tRNA". Rfam says of the family: Transfer RNA (tRNA) molecules are approximately 80 nucleotides in length. Their secondary structure includes four short double-helical elements and three loops (D, anti-codon, and T loops). Lineage: Bacteria; Bacillati; Chloroflexota; Chloroflexia; Chloroflexales; Roseiflexaceae. The record is from RNAcentral.